AAAUUAAAACUUUCAACAACGGAUCUCUUGGUUCUGGCAUCGAUGAAGAACGCAGCGAAAUGCGAUAAGUAAUGUGAAUUGCAGAAUUCAGUGAAUCAUCGAAUCUUUGAACGCACAUUGCGCCCCUUGGUAUUCCGAGGGGCAUGCCUGUUCGAGCGUCAUU
Molecule: ribosomal RNA, 163 nt
Filed under: Xanthoria montana
Lineage: Eukaryota; Fungi; Ascomycota; Lecanoromycetes; Teloschistales; Teloschistaceae
Also listed under: 3 other names
Description: 5.8S ribosomal RNA
Rfam family: 5.8S ribosomal RNA
About the family: 5.8S ribosomal RNA (5.8S rRNA) is a component of the large subunit of the eukaryotic ribosome. It is transcribed by RNA polymerase I as part of the 45S precursor that also contains 18S and 28S rRNA.
Source: RNAcentral